Homo sapiens (human) is the source of this 2012-nucleotide long non-coding RNA. The record is from Ensembl. Lineage: Eukaryota; Metazoa; Chordata; Mammalia; Primates; Hominidae.
UUUAGCGAUCUGGUUGCAACUAAGGUAAACGUUUAUCAUGCAAAUAUUGCUCUCUCCUUGGCGAUACCUUGUUGGUAGAAGUAGAAUUUAAAAUAUAUUAUUGCCAUUUGCCAGCUGACCUGUGACACAGCAGCAGUGUAUUACAUUUUCAAUGAGCAGUCUGUCUGGAGCUGCUAGUGGGAGAAACUGCUUCCUGGUUUCUAGGGGAGGCAGAUGAUGAAUAAAUGAACAAAAAAUAUAAUAAUGGAUAUGUAUUUAUAAGUGCUAUGAAGAGAAGAAAUCCAAGCAAGAAGAGAGUGAAAUGAGGUAUCCUGUAAGAACAAAUUGCUGCCUCCUCCAGGUGGAAAGGGAUCAAAUAUAAUUAAUCUGUGUGUGCCACACAGUAGCUUGAUAGUUUAAUUGAGGAAUGUUGACAUAUUGAGAGCUCAGCAUUACUUUCUGCUAUCAGCAGUGACGCUGACUGAGCUGGGCUCUCAAGCUCUUCUCGACAACCAUGUAAGAAGCGAUGACAAUUGUACUACUUCAUAACAGCUGCAUGGAACUCUGACACACACUUCACAGCAACCAGUCAUCUAUAUAAACCAAUUUCAGGAGCAAAAUUGCAUGGUGCCUCCACUCUGUUAUAAACACAAUGAUAUCCACUCAAAGCUGAUAAAUGCACUACAUUUCUCUGCAGCUUAAAAGAAUAAGUUCCUUGCAUCUGAGAUUUCCUUCCCACAAAUUAAGUCAUUUUUUUUGUCCUAGCCAUUAAUUUAAAACUUUAGAAAGAACAAGACCAUUUAGAUUUUGAAUACCCGUAAAAUAAAGAAAUUUCAGUCUUAACAUUUUGGUUCUCCAACUAAAUACACUUUCAAUUUUUUUUGGAAUAUCUCUGCCAGACUUUCCUAAUUGAUGAUCUGAAGGAGAAAGCAAAAGGAAGAAGUAAUUAAGGUUUAAAAUACUUACCACUGCCAUAGCAAUUCACCAGUUAAUUACAAUAUCUUUUCAUAGGAUUAUACACAAUACAAUUCUUAUUAUUGAAUAAAACAUCUACAAGCAACCUGGAAACUAUUGUUAAAACUUAAAUCUUAACUACCCUGUGUUUGGUGAAUAAUAAAGCUUUGGUGAAUCCGUUAAUAAUUCCAAUAGAGUCAAGUAAGAUAAAGAGGUCACUCAUAUUUUUAAAUACACUCUUGUAUUACCAACACACAUUUUUAAAUUAAGGUUGAAAAGACAUGGGUAAAAAUUAUGUACAGUUUCAGAUAAAAAAGACAGACACCCAAUUUUUUCAUGUUGAUAACAGUGACAUAUAUUGUGUAUAUAUAUGAGCAUAUAUGAGUACAUAUAUACAUAUAUAUUAUGAGAAUAUAUGUGUAUAUACAUAUAUGUAUAUAUCCUCAUUUAUAUAUGUAUAAAUAUGUCUAUCAUGUAUACACAUAUAUCCUCAUAAUAUAUAUCUGUAUAUGUACUCAUAUGAUAUAUAUGUAUCUAUGAGGAUAUAUACAUAUAUGUAUAUAUACAUAUAUCCUCAUAAUAUAUAUCUGUAAAUGUACUCAUAUACACUCAAUAUAAACAUAUAUACAUUAUGAGUACAUAGUCAUAAUCAUUUCAGAUAUUAGAAAAUGUGUAUACAUUUAUUUUUUCAUUUUCUUUAUUCUAACAAUUUUACAGGAAGUCAGAGGAAUAGAAUAUUUGAGCAGAGAGAACAGCAAACGUACUUCAUAGGACACAUAUUUUAAUAAAUUAUAAUUUAUUAAUAUGUUGAAACUUAAUUACAGAGACAAACUCUGCUGUGUCUAGUGGAGUUUACUGCUGAACAAAUGGAAGGACUAUAUUAUUGUACUACUUAAACUAUACGAUCUUAUGGCAUAAUAUUCAAUGAGUGUCCAUUGUCAAUAUGUUAAUGUACACUACCAGUGGACUUAUAAUUUCUGGCAUUAGUUAAGAACUUUACAACAAUAACUUAAAAUGAUAAAUGUUAGUUUCAGAAGUGAGUCUCAUGUGAGCUUCACUGCUUUAACAAAAGUGUGAAA